UACGGAGGGGGCUAGCGUUGCUCGGAAUCACUGGGCGUAAAGGGCGCGUAGGCGGCGUUUUAAGUCGGGGGUGAAGCCUGUGGCUCAACCACAGAAUUGCCUUCGAUACUGGGACGCUUGAGUCUGGUAGAGGUUGGUGGAACUGCGAGUGUAGAGGUGAAAUUCGUAGAUAUUCGCAAGAACACCGGUGGCGAAGGCGGCCAACUGGACCAGUACUGACGCUGAGGCGCGAAAGCGUGGGGGAGCAAACAGGAUUAGAUACCCUGGUAGUCCACGCCGUAAACGAUGAAUGCCAGCCGUUGGGGGGCUUGCCUCUCAGUGGCGCAGCUAACGCUUUGAGCAUUCCGCCUGGGGAGUACGGUCGCAAGAUUAAAACUCAAA
Molecule: ribosomal RNA, 381 nt
Filed under: uncultured bacterium
Lineage: Bacteria
Description: bacterial SSU rRNA
Rfam family: Bacterial small subunit ribosomal RNA
Source: RNAcentral